CACCAGGUCAGGACACGGUAAGGAUUGACGGACUGAAGGCUCUUUCUCGAUUCCGUGGAAAGUGGUGCAUGGCCGUUUUUGGUUGGUGGAUCGAUCCGUCUGGUUAAUUCCGUUAACGAACGAGACCUCGGCACUCCGAAUAGCGCGGCGGACGUCGCGGCCUCCGGGCCGUCUUCCGCACGAGCUUCUUAGAGGGACCGUCCCCCGCCGGGGAAGGAGGUGCGAGGCAACGACAGGUCUGUGAUGCCCUUAGAUGUUCUGGGCCGCACGCGCAUUACACUGACGCGUCCAACGGGUGACUCCCGACCCGAAGGGGCCGGGGAAUCCGCAAGGCGCGUCGUGAUGGGGAUUGAACGUUGCAAUUGUUGUUCACGAACGAGGAAUUCCUAGUAGGCGCGGGUCAUCAACCCGCGCCGAUUACGUCCCUGC
RNAcentral lists this ribosomal RNA (429 nucleotides) under uncultured eukaryote. Its description in RNAcentral is "bacterial SSU rRNA". It matches the Rfam family "Eukaryotic small subunit ribosomal RNA", at positions 1216 to 1656 of the family's 1831-position model. The record is from RNAcentral.